GACGAACGCUGGCGGCGUGCUUAACACAUGCAAGUCGAACGGAAAGGCCCUGCUUUUGUGGGGUGCUCGAGUGGCGAACGGGUGAGUAACACGUGAGUAACCUGCCCUUGACUUUGGGAUAACUUCAGGAAACUGGGGCUAAUACCGGAUAGGAGCUCCUGCUGCAUGGUGGGGGUUGGAAAGUUUCGGCGGUUGGGGAUGGACUCGCGGCUUAUCAGCUUGUUGGUGGGGUAGUGGCUUACCAAGGCUUCGACGGGUAGCCGGCCUGGGAGGUUGACCGGCCACAAUGGGACUGAGAUACGGCGCAGACUCCUACGGGAGGCAGCGGUGGAGAAUAUUGCCCAGUGGGCGGACGCCUGAUGCAGCAACGCCGCGUGCGGGAUGACGGCCUUCGGGUUGUGAACCGCUUUCGCCUGUGACGAAGCGUGAGUGACGGUAAUGGGUAAAGAAGCACCGGCUAACUACGUG
Molecule: ribosomal RNA, 468 nt
Filed under: uncultured bacterium
Lineage: Bacteria
Description: partial 16S ribosomal RNA
Rfam family: Bacterial small subunit ribosomal RNA
Source: RNAcentral